UAACCGCUGGCUGAGGUUCGCUAGUACUACCAUGUUCAUAAUCAGCUUCCCCAUGAUGAUACCAAAUUUUGUAACUUCGUGUAAACCCACUCAAAUAUAGAUGAGUCCAAACAUCUCACUCUUUAAUAACCUUUCUAUUUUUACAAUUAGAGCAAGAACAUCUUAACAUACCUGUUUUUGCUUCCGGUUUUCGGUGAACUAACCCCAUGAAUUCGGUUAUACCUCGUUGGUAUUCUUCCGUAAGCAAUCUCGUGUUCGGAUCCAAAUGAGGUCGAUCGAUCCAAGAACGAAAAUAAUUUGAAGACAUAUUUUUUAUGAAUCAAAUUCGUGUGUAAAGAGAGUAAGAGGGAGGAUGAAGAUAUGGAGUGAAUGAAGAGGAAGAGGGGUGCUUGUAUUUAUAGUUGAAAUCCUGCCGACAAACCAAGGAAAUUCCGACGGAAUUCUGACGGAAACGGCUAGUUCGUCGGAAUUUCCUCGGAAUUUUUAAAA
RNAcentral lists this long non-coding RNA (489 nucleotides) under Brassica napus (rape). RNAcentral describes it as "long non-coding RNA (BNAP_LNC020153)". The record is from RNAcentral. Lineage: Eukaryota; Viridiplantae; Streptophyta; Magnoliopsida; Brassicales; Brassicaceae.